CCUACGGGAGGCAGCAGUGAGGAAUAUUGGUCAAUGGGCGAGAGCCUGAACCAGCCAAGUCGCGUGAGGGAGUACUGCCCUAUGGGUUGUAAACCUCUUUUGUCGGGGAGCAAAAGCCGGACGUGUCCGGCUGUGAGAGUACCCGAAGAAAAAGCAUCGGCUAACUCCGUGCCAGCAGCCGCGGUAAUACGGAGGAUGCGAGCGUUAUCCGGAUUUAUUGGGUUUUAAGGGUGCGCAGGCGGAUUUUUAAGUCAGCGGUAAAAUCGUGGGGCUCAACCCCAUCCAGCCGUUGAAACUGGGGAUCUAGAGUGUGCGAGAGGUAUGCGGAAUGCGUGGUGUAGCGGUGAAAUGCAUAGAUAUCACGCAGAACCCCGAUUGCGAAGGCAGCAUACCGGUGCACAACUGACGCUCAGGCACGAAAGCGUGGGUAUCGAACAGGAUUAGAUACCCCAGUAGUC
Molecule: ribosomal RNA, 458 nt
Filed under: uncultured bacterium
Lineage: Bacteria
Description: partial 16S ribosomal RNA
Rfam family: Bacterial small subunit ribosomal RNA
Source: RNAcentral